GUCUUUUUGUAAUUUAUAUAAAGUCUAACCUGCCCAUUGAUUAAUUUAAAAGGCUGCGGUAUUUUGACCGUACAAAGGUAGCAUAAUCAUUAGUUUUUUAAUUGAAAACUGGUAUGAAUGGUUGAAUGAAAAAUUAACUUUUUUAGAUAAAAUAUUGAAUUUUACUUUUUAAUUAAAAGGUUAAAAUAAAUUUAAAAGACGAGAAGACCCUAUAGAGUUUUAUAAUUUAUUAUAUAUUUUUAAAAAAGAUUAAAUAAAUUUUUAUAAAAUAAAUUAUUUUGUUGGGGUGAUAUUAGAAUUUAAAUAACUUUUAAAAAUUAUACCAUUAAUAUAUGAAUAAAUGAUCCAUUAUUAAUGAUUAAAAAUUUAAAUUACCUUAGGGAUAACAGCGUAAUUUUUUUUUAAGUUCUUAUUAAUAAAAAAUUUUGCGACCUCGAUGUUGGAUUAAGAUUUAAUUUUAGGUGCAGCAGUUUAAAUUUUAAGUCUGUUCGACUUUUAAAUUCUU
This 505-nucleotide ribosomal RNA is filed under the name Corynoptera deserta. RNAcentral describes it as "partial small subunit ribosomal RNA". The record is from RNAcentral. Lineage: Eukaryota; Metazoa; Arthropoda; Insecta; Diptera; Sciaridae.